AUGCUCGCCGCUGCGUCCCCCGCCGCCAACGUCGCGAGUGUCCGCACCCAUGUCCAUGUGACACUGGACCUCCACGCCUCCAACUCCACCAAGCGGAGGAUGCUCAUCCGCGUGCUUCUCGGCAAGUACGAUCUGCUCUUCCACGUCAACACCGCCACUGCCGAGGCGGACCACACUGCGGACUGGGUUCGGGAGGACUAUAUUGUCUGCUCGUGGCUCUAUGGGUCCAUCUCAGACGAGAUACUCGACAUAAUCAUGGCGGAGGACCAAACAUCGCAAGAAGCUUGGACAUUCAUCACCAACCUUUUUCUUGAUAAUCAGAUGACCCGCACCGUUUUGAGGCAGAGUUCCGCGGCCUCGUCCAGGGCGAGCUCUCCAUCACCGCCUACUGCCACCGUCUGA
This 402-nucleotide ribosomal RNA is filed under the name Triticum aestivum (bread wheat). Its description in RNAcentral is "partial small subunit ribosomal RNA". The record is from RNAcentral. Lineage: Eukaryota; Viridiplantae; Streptophyta; Magnoliopsida; Poales; Poaceae.